Molecule: long non-coding RNA, 595 nt
Filed under: Mus musculus (house mouse)
Lineage: Eukaryota; Metazoa; Chordata; Mammalia; Rodentia; Muridae
Description: long non-coding RNA chr8:122572514-122573109
Source: RNAcentral
UGCUCCUGGCAGAGUUGCUGCCGGACUGGCUCAGCCUGCAUCGCAUCCGCACGGAUACCUACGUCAAGCUGGACAAGGCUGUUGACCUGGCUGGCCUCACUGCGAGGCUGGCCCACCACGUCCACGCCGAGGGGCUGUGACUUUGAGCUCCUUGCCUGUUUCUUUCAUCAGUACACGACGCACUUACGCCUUUAAGCCUCGCCAGUGUGGGCAGCUAUCGUUGCCCAUGGAUCUCAUAAAGUGCUGGCAUUAAGUUGCUUCCUGAGGCUUUGGGGCAUCCCAGACUCAGCUCUAGGGGAAGUAGACUCUGAAGAGUAGGGUAUGUUGGAUGGCCAUUGCACAAACUACUCAAGCAUUAGGUAUGGUCAAGACCCAAGAUCAAGGUCCAGGUGGAAGCCUAGGCUGGCAUAGCCUUGCUUCCCCAUGAGACUUAAGAAUCACACAGACCUUGGACUUUCCUGAUUUCACGGGACGCUGCUCUGAGAGUGAAAUUGGGCCUUCUGUAAAUAUGUGAAGUGUGGUUUCUUUUCAAACCUUAUAUGGCCCUGCAUGUGACUGCUAGUUUUGGCUUUUAAUAAAGUCAUGUAAGAUUUAA